This 261-nucleotide ribosomal RNA is filed under the name uncultured bacterium. RNAcentral's name for it is "partial 16S ribosomal RNA". It matches the Rfam family "Bacterial small subunit ribosomal RNA", at positions 524 to 784 of the family's 1533-position model. The record is from RNAcentral.
UACGUAGGGCGCAAGCGUUAUCCGGAAUUAUUGGGCGUAAAGAGCUCGUAGGCGGUUUGUCGCGUCUGCCGUGAAAGUCCGGGGCUCAACUCCGGAUCUGCGGUGGGUACGGGCAGACUAGAGUGAUGUAGGGGAGACUGGAAUUCCUGGUGUAGCGGUGAAAUGCGUAGAUAUCGAGAGGAACACCGGUGGCGAAGGCGAGUCCCUGGAAAACACCUGACACUGAGGCACGAAAGCUAGGGGAGCAAACAGGAUUAGAAC